GAUGAACGCUAGCGGCAGGCUUAAUACAUGCAAGUCGAGGGGUCAGCAAUGACACCGGCGGACGGGUGCGUAACGCGUAUGCAACCUACCUACAUCAGGGGGAUAGCCCUAGGAAACUGGGAUUAACACCGCAUAAUAUUAUUAAUGGCAUCAUUGAUAAUUGAAAUAUUUAUAGGAAGUAGAUGGGCAUGCGUAAGAUUAGCUAGUUGGUAAGGUAACGGCUUACCAAGGCUACGAUCUUUAGGGGCUCUGAGAGGAGUAUCCCCCACACUGGCACUGAGAUACGGGCCAGACUCCUACGGGAGGCAGCAGUAGGGAAUAUUGGGCAAUGGAGGCAACUCUGACCCAGCCAUGCCGCGUGCAGGAAGACGGCCCUCUGGGUUGUAAACUGCUUUUGAAUGGGAAGAAUGUGUGGCUUGCGAGCUAUAAUGACGUACCAUUAGAAUAGCCACGCUAACUACGUGCCAGCAGCCGACGGUAAACGU
Molecule: ribosomal RNA, 485 nt
Filed under: uncultured bacterium
Lineage: Bacteria
Description: bacterial SSU rRNA
Rfam family: Bacterial small subunit ribosomal RNA
Source: RNAcentral